GAUGAACGCUGGCGGCGUGCCUAAUACAUGCAAGUCGAGCGAACAGAUGAGGAGCUUGCUCCUCUGACGUUAGCGGCGGACGGGUGAGUAACACGUGGAUAACCUACCUAUAAGACUGGGAUAACUUCGGGAAACCGGAGCUAAUACCGGAUAAUAUAUUGAACCGCAUGGUUCAAUAGUGAAAGACGGUUUUGCUGUCACUUAUAGAUGGAUCCGCGCCGCAUUAGCUAGUUGGUAAGGUAACGGCUUACCAAGGCAACGAUGCGUAGCCGACCUGAGAGGGUGAUCGCCCACACGGGAACGGAGCCACGGUCCAGAUCCCUACGGGAGGCAGCAGUAGGGAAUCUUCCGCAAUGGGCGAAGUCCUGACGGAGCAACGCCGCGUGAGUGAUGAAGUUCUUCGGAUCGUAAAACUCUGUUAUUAGGGAAGAACAAAUGUGUAAGUAACUAUGCACGUCUUGACGGUACCUAAUCAGAAAGCCACGGCUAACUACGUG
RNAcentral lists this ribosomal RNA (497 nucleotides) under uncultured bacterium. RNAcentral's name for it is "partial 16S ribosomal RNA". It matches the Rfam family "Bacterial small subunit ribosomal RNA", at positions 28 to 507 of the family's 1533-position model. The record is from RNAcentral.